CCUACGGGUGGCAGCAGUGGGGAAUAUUGCACAAUGGGGGAAACCCUGAUGCAGCGACGCCGCGUGAAGGAAGAAGUAUUUCGGUAUGUAAACUUCUAUCAGCAGGGAAGAAAAUGACGGUACCUGACUAAGAAGCCCCGGCUAACUACGUGCCAGCAGCCGCGGUAAUACGUAGGGGGCAAGCGUUAUCCGGAUUUACUGGGUGUAAAGGGAGCGUAGGCGGUUUAGCAAGUCAGAAGUGAAAGCCCGGGGCUCAACGCGGGGACGGCUCUUGAAACUGUUGGACGAGAGUGCAGGAGAGGUAAGUGGAAUUCGUGGUGUAGCGGUGAAAUGCGUAGAUAUGAGGAGGAACACGAGUGGCGAAGGCGGCUUACUGGACUGUAAAUGACGCUGAGGCUCGAAAGCGUGGGGAGCGAACAGGAUUAGAUACCCGAGUAGUC
RNAcentral lists this ribosomal RNA (440 nucleotides) under uncultured bacterium. RNAcentral's name for it is "partial 16S ribosomal RNA". It matches the Rfam family "Bacterial small subunit ribosomal RNA", at positions 338 to 795 of the family's 1533-position model. The record is from RNAcentral.